GCUAUUUUGGCAGAUAAGUGCAUUGGAUUUAGAAUCUAUGAAUGUGAAGUUUUUAUUUUACAGAUAGUA
Molecule: transfer RNA, 69 nt
Filed under: Cyrilliotermes angulariceps
Lineage: Eukaryota; Metazoa; Arthropoda; Insecta; Blattodea; Termitidae
Description: tRNA-Leu
Source: RNAcentral